Long non-coding RNA from Macrobrachium nipponense, 648 nucleotides. RefSeq lists it as uncharacterized. The transcript has 5 exons. Lineage: Eukaryota; Metazoa; Arthropoda; Malacostraca; Decapoda; Palaemonidae. The record is from RefSeq and is a predicted model, not a curated record.
CGGAGCGACCGCCGGCUGCCGAGAUAGUCUGCGGGAAUCACACAAAGCAUUUCACUUUGUAGCGCGAGACGUCGAAGGCUUGAGGCUUUUUGUUUGAAUUAAUUUUUUAAAUACGUGGGAGUGGGGACCACUCAGGAACCGUCAAUACGAACUUGUAAGUGAAAAAAAAAAGAGGAUUGAUACAGAUCACUACCCGAUUAAUCAAAAAGACAGUGGAAGUAUCUCUAAAGCUCCUGGGGAAACGUACCUUGGAACGAAACCUUUACACAUAAAGAUCUGAACCGAGGACGACGUUGACGGAGGAAUUUGUGUCUGGUUGGAGGAAGGGAUACAACCAGAGAGGGAAAGAGGUUCAUGCUAGGCGCCUCGUGACCGUUCGUUGCCCGUUCUCCUUCGGUUAGCUGCCAAGACUGAGAUUAUAUACCAAUGAAAGACGUUGUUCUAGCCUUCUUCAUAGCCGCAAUUUGCUGUCUGUGUGAAUGUGGGGAAUGUCUCCAGAUAACCCAGCUGACAGUGCCGCGCGUGGUUCGAAGCGGCAGCCGUGUCAAUUUCUCUUGCGGCUUCGACCUCACAGACGAAAAGCUUUAUUCGCUCACGUGGUGGAAAGAUAACCAAACUUUCUUCAGUUACCUCCCGAGUAGAAGUCAU